This 459-nucleotide ribosomal RNA is filed under the name Triticum aestivum (bread wheat). RNAcentral's name for it is "partial small subunit ribosomal RNA". Lineage: Eukaryota; Viridiplantae; Streptophyta; Magnoliopsida; Poales; Poaceae. The record is from RNAcentral.
AUGCAAUGUAUGACAGGUGACAGCACAAGUGGCAAGCGAUGUGCUCAUGUGGAUGUAGUAGAUAUUCUCAAAAAAAAAAAUGUGGAUGUAGUAGAUGUGGUGGCCAUAUGGAUAAUGGAACUGGCAGCAGCUCAGAAUGUAUGUAGAGAACACACACACGGCAUGUAUAGUCGCACCCCCCAUGAUGUGAAUGAAAUAAUACCUUCGUUGGUAAAAAGCGGCAGUGUUUCUCACUGUUUUUCUCCGUUACAGUUUUUUCUCUUUGCAGUUGUGCAACCAGGCAGUUUUUUUCAACACACCAGGCAGUUGAAGGGCAAGGCAUGUGUAAAGGUAAGCUUCUUAUCUACUGUAUUUUCAUCAGAUUUCUUUUGGUUUAGUUACCAGAGAAGAGUGAUUAGCAACAGCAUGGGCCAAGAGCAUAUGUUCUUUCAAAUCCGGUACAACAAGAAGCUGACAUGA